CGAGAUGUGCAGCGGACGAUUAAAGAGGACAUUGACAUCCAUAGAGGUGAGUCAUACACAUUGAUGGAAGCGAUGGCUGUUUUGUGUCAUCUGUGUCAUGUUUGCACUUUGUUCGGGUUCUUUGCAUGUCUAACUCUUUGCUUUGACACACUCUGUCCUUGAGGUGUUGGCUGUUUAGCAUCUGGGUCACGUUUGGACUUUAUCCUGGUCACUUGUCUGCGUCAUUCAUGGCUUUGACAUAAAUUGAAGACAUGGGACUUUGAUUGUUUGCUGAUGUCGCCAUUUUCUUUGUUUUACAUGCCGAGAGACCGAGAUGUGCAGCGGAUGAUUAAAGAGGACAUUGACAUCCAUAGAGGUGAGUCACACACAUUGAUGGAAGCGAUGGCUGUUUUGUGUCAUCUGUGUCAUGUUUGCACUUUGUUCGGGUUCUUUGCAUGUCUAACUCUUUGCUUUGACACACUCUGUCCUUGAGGUGUUGGCUGUUUAGCAUCUGGGUCACGUUUGGACUUUAUCCUGGUCACUUGUCUGCGUCAUUCAUGGCUUUGACAUAAAUUGAAGACAUGGGACUUUGAUUGUUUGCUGAUGUCGCCAUUUUCUUUGUUUCUUUUACAUGCUGAGAGACCGAGAUGUGCAGUGGACGAUUAAAGAGGACGUUGACAUCCAUAGAGAGACGAGAUCUGCAGUGGACGAUUAAAGACGACGUUGACAUCCAUAGAGGUGAGUUUGUUCUUUUCUCACACUUUGCUAUUUUUCUACUUUCCUCUUUUCUCACACUUUGCUAUUUUCACACUUUGUUCUUUUUCCUCUUUUCUCACACUUUGCUAUUUUCACACUUUGUUCUUUUUCCUCUUUCCUCACACUUUGUUCUUUUUCCUCUUUCCUCACACUUUGCUAUUUUCACACUUUGUUUUUUUUCCAUACUUUGUUCUUUUUCCUCUUUUUUCACACUUUGCUAUUUUCACACUUU
Amphiprion ocellaris (clown anemonefish) is the source of this 967-nucleotide long non-coding RNA. The record is from Ensembl. Lineage: Eukaryota; Metazoa; Chordata; Actinopteri; Pomacentridae.